CAGCCGCCGCGGGAAUACGUAGGUGGCAAGCGUUGUCCGGAAUUAUUGGGCGUAAAGGGCUCGCAGGCGGUUUCUUAAGUCUGAUGUGAAAGCCCCCGGCUCAACCGGGGAGGGUCAUUGGAAACUGGGAAACUUGAGUGCAGAAGAGGAGAGUGGAAUUCCACGUGUAGCGGUGAAAUGCGUAGAGAUGUGGAGGAACACCAGUGGCGAAGACGGCUCUCUGGUCUGUAACUGACGCUGAGGAGCGAAAGCGUGGGGAGCGAACAGGAUUAGAUACCCCCGUAGUCCCUGUCUCUUAUAC
RNAcentral lists this ribosomal RNA (301 nucleotides) under uncultured bacterium. Its description in RNAcentral is "partial 16S ribosomal RNA". It matches the Rfam family "Bacterial small subunit ribosomal RNA", at positions 509 to 807 of the family's 1533-position model. The record is from RNAcentral.